RNAcentral lists this ribosomal RNA (292 nucleotides) under uncultured bacterium. RNAcentral describes it as "partial 16S ribosomal RNA". It matches the Rfam family "Bacterial small subunit ribosomal RNA", at positions 505 to 796 of the family's 1533-position model. The record is from RNAcentral.
GUGCCAGCAGCCGCGGUAAUACAGAGGUCCCGAGCGUUGUUCGGAUUCACUGGGCGUAAAGGGUGCGUAGGUGGUUGUGCAAGUCUGAUGUGAAAUCUCCGGGCUCAACCCGGAAAUGGCAUUGGAAACUGCAUGGCUAGAGGAUUGGAGGGGGGACUGGAAUACUUGGUGUAGCAGUGAAAUGCGUAGAUAUCAAGUGGAACACCAGUGGCGAAGGCGAGUCCCUGGACAAUACCUGACACUGAGGCACGAAAGCUAGGGGAGCAAACAGGAUUAGAUACCCUGGUAGUCC